AGCACUCCAAGGACUGAAAGCCAAAUACCUUCUCUUGGGGCACUCAUACUCAGACACUGUUCCUCUCGACUGCACCGCCAAAGAGUAACUCAAGUGGCGGCCACGACACAUGGAAGCAUGGAACGGCCGAGCGAUCUUCAGAACCACUCCAGACAUCAUAGUAGAAUAAAAGCUACCUCCACCGGAGGAAAAUGGUCCCUAGAGGAACAGGGACUACACAUCAACUGCCUCGAACUGCUAGCAGGAUUGUUUUCCCGACGGAGUCUUUUAAGUAUAUCGACCAAUUGCUCCAUUCUG
Pelobates cultripes (western spadefoot toad) is the source of this 297-nucleotide non-coding RNA. NCBI's taxonomy places the organism in Eukaryota, Metazoa, Chordata, Amphibia, Anura, Pelobatidae. The record is from the annotation of a GenBank genome assembly.